This 806-nucleotide ribosomal RNA is filed under the name uncultured Bacteroidota bacterium. Its description in RNAcentral is "bacterial SSU rRNA". It matches the Rfam family "Bacterial small subunit ribosomal RNA", at positions 225 to 1035 of the family's 1533-position model. The record is from RNAcentral. Lineage: Bacteria; Pseudomonadati; Bacteroidota.
AUGGGCAUGCGUUCCAUUAGCUUGUUGGUGAGGUAACGGCUCACCAAGGCAACGAUGGAUAGGGGAACUGAGAGGUUUAUCCCCCACACUGGUACUGAGACACGGACCAGACUCCUACGGGAGGCAGCAGUGAGGAAUAUUGGUCAAUGGACGCAAGUCUGAACCAGCCACGUCGCGUGAAGGAAGACGGCCCUACGGGUUGUAAACUUCUUUUGUAAGGGAAUAAAGUGUAGUACGUGUACUAUUUUGCAUGUACCUUACGAAUAAGGAUCGGCUAACUCCGUGCCAGCAGCCGCGGUAAUACGGAGGAUCCGAGCGUUAUCCGGAUUUAUUGGGUUUAAAGGGUGCGCAGGCGGGAGAUUAAGUCGGCGGUGAAAUUUUGCAGCUCAACUGUAAAAGUGCCUUCGAAACUGAUUUCCUUGAGUGUGGAUGAAGUAGGCGGAAUUUGUGGUGUAGCGGUGAAAUGCAUAGAUAUCACGAGGAACUCCGAUUGCGCAGGCAGCUUACUAAACCAUAACUGACGCUCAGGCACGAAGGCGUGGGGAUCAAACAGGAUUAGAUACCCUGGUAGUCCACGCAGUAAACGAUGAUUACUAGCUGUUUGCGAUACAAUGUAAGCGGCUGAGCGAAAGCGUUAAGUAAUCCACCUGGGGAGUACGUUCGCAAGAAUGAAACUCAAAGGAAUUGACGGGGGCCCGCACAAGCGGAGGAACAUGUGAUUUAAUUCGAUGAUACGCGAGGAACCUUACCCGGGCUUGAAUGCAUCUGACCGGCCUUGAAAGAGCUUUCCCUUCGGGGCAGAUGUG